CGGACGGGUGAGUAAUGUCUGGGAAACUGCCCGAUGGAGGGGGAUAACUACUGGAAACGGUAGCUAAUACCGCAUAACGUCGCAAGACCAAAGAGGGGACCUUCGGGCCUCUUGUCAUCGGAUGUGCCCAGAUGGGAUUAGCUAGUAGGUGGGGUAACGGCUCACCUAGGCGACGAUCCCUAGCUGGUCUGAGAGGAUGACCAGCCACACUGGAACUGAGACACGGUCCAG
Molecule: ribosomal RNA, 231 nt
Filed under: uncultured bacterium
Lineage: Bacteria
Description: partial 16S ribosomal RNA
Rfam family: Bacterial small subunit ribosomal RNA
Source: RNAcentral